AAUCAACGCUGGCGGCGUGCCUAACACAUGCAAGUCGCACGAGAAAGGGACUUCGGUCCUGAGUAAAGUGGCGCACGGGUGAGUAACACGUGAAUCAUCUACCUUCGAGUGGGGAAGUAAACUGAGAGAAAUCUUAGCUAAUACCGCAUAAUACCUACGGGUCAAAGCAGCAAUGCGCUUGAAGAGGAGUUCGCGGCAGAUUAGUUAGUUGGCGGGGU
This 218-nucleotide ribosomal RNA is filed under the name uncultured bacterium. RNAcentral's name for it is "partial 16S ribosomal RNA". It matches the Rfam family "Bacterial small subunit ribosomal RNA", at positions 32 to 258 of the family's 1533-position model. The record is from RNAcentral.